UGCUUUAAAUCCUAAUGCAAAACGCAAUCCUAGAAAUACUUCAAAACGCAGUGUUUUUCCUUUAUUUAGAAAAGGAAAAAAGAAUUACAAGAAUUUUUUUUAAAUAUGAGUGCACGAGUUUCUAUUUAUAGUGAUAUUUGGAGUAAUAAUUGGCAAAUACAUUCAUAUAUGGGUAUAACAUGUCAUUGGAUUAGUGAUAAUUGGAUCAUGCAAAAAAGAAUAA
RNAcentral lists this unclassified non-coding RNA (223 nucleotides) under Hevea brasiliensis (rubber tree). Lineage: Eukaryota; Viridiplantae; Streptophyta; Magnoliopsida; Malpighiales; Euphorbiaceae. The record is from RNAcentral.